Molecule: ribosomal RNA, 793 nt
Filed under: Methanosaeta sp. enrichment culture clone A22100
Lineage: Archaea; Methanobacteriati; Methanobacteriota; Methanomicrobia; Methanotrichales; Methanotrichaceae
Description: bacterial SSU rRNA
Rfam family: Archaeal small subunit ribosomal RNA
Source: RNAcentral
ACUGCUCAGUAACACGUGGACAACCUGCCCUUAGGUUGGGUAUAAACCCGGGAAACUGGGUAUAAUACCCGAUAGGUCUCGAUUGCUGGAAUGCAUCGAGAUUUAAAGCUCCGGCGCCUAAGGAUGGGUCUGCGGCCUAUCAGGUAGUAGUGGGUGUAGCGUACCUACUAGCCUACGACGGGUACGGGUUGUGAGAGUAAGAGCCCGGAGAUGGAUUCUGAGACACGAAUCCAGGCCCUACGGGGUGCAGCAGGCGCGAAAACUUUACAAUGCUGGCAACAGCGAUAAGGGAACCUCGAGUGCCAGGUUACAAAUCUGGCUGUCGAGAUGCCUAAAAAGCAUUUCAUAGCAAGGGCCGGGCAAGACCGGUGCCAGCCGCCGCGGUAACACCGGCGGCUCGAGUGGUAACCGUUAUUAUUGGGUCUAAAGGGUCUGUAGCCGGCCGGAUAAGUCUCUUGAGAAAUCUGGCAGCUUAACUGUCAGGCUUUCAGGAGAUACUGUCUGGCUCGAGGCCGGGAGAGGUGAGAGGUACUUCAGGGGUAGGGGUGAAAUCUUGUAAUCCUUGAAGGACCACCAGUGGCGAAGGCGUCUCACCAGAACGGACCUGACGGCAAGGGACGAAAGCUAGGGGCACGAACCGGAUUAGAUACCCGGGUAGUCCUAGCCGUAAACGAUACUCGCUAGGUGUCGGCCACGGUGCGACCGUUGUCGGUGCCGUAGGGAAGCCGUGAAGCGAGCCACCUGGGAAGUACGGCCGCAAGGCUGAAACUUAAAGGAAUUGGCGGGGGAGCAC